CCUACGUGAGGCAGCAGUGAGGAAUAUUGGUCAAUGGGCGUAAGCCUGAACCAGCCAAGUCGCGUGAGGGAUGAAGGUUCUAUGGAUCGUAAACCUCUUUUAUAAGGGAAUAAAGUGUGGGACGUGUCCUAUUUUGUAUGUACCUUAUGAAUAAGGAUCGGCUAACUCCGUGCCAGCAGCCGCGGUAAUACGGAGGAUCCGAGCGUUAUCCGGAUUUAUUGGGCGUAAAGCGCUCGUAGGCGGUAUGUCAAGUCAAGGGUGAAAUCCCCGCGCUCAACGUGGGAACUGCCUUUGAAACUGGCAAACUGGAGUGUGUGAGAGGAUAGUGGAAUUCCAGGUGUAGGAGUGAAAUCCGUAGAUAUCUGGAGGAACAUCAGUGGCGAAGGCGACUAUCUGGCACAUAACUGACGCUGAGGAGCGAAAGCGUGGGUAGCAAACAGGAGUAGAUACCCGAGUAGUC
RNAcentral lists this ribosomal RNA (460 nucleotides) under uncultured bacterium. RNAcentral's name for it is "partial 16S ribosomal RNA". It matches the Rfam family "Bacterial small subunit ribosomal RNA", at positions 338 to 795 of the family's 1533-position model. The record is from RNAcentral.